UGGCGGACGGGUGAGUAACGCGUGGGCAACCUGCCCCGUGCCGGGGGAUACCGCCUGGAAACAGGCGCUAAUACCGCAUAAGCGCAUACAGCCGCAUGGCAGUAUGCGGAAAGCUCCGGCGGCACGGGAUGGGCCCGCGCCCGAUUAGCCAGUUGGCGGGGUAACGGCCCACCAAAGCGACGAUCAGUAGCCGGCCUGAGAGGGUGGACGGCCACAUUGGGACUGAGACACGGCCCAAACUCCUACGGGAGGCAGCAG
Molecule: ribosomal RNA, 258 nt
Filed under: uncultured bacterium
Lineage: Bacteria
Description: partial 16S ribosomal RNA
Rfam family: Bacterial small subunit ribosomal RNA
Source: RNAcentral